Molecule: ribosomal RNA, 656 nt
Filed under: Marinomonas sp. SC7A
Lineage: Bacteria; Pseudomonadati; Pseudomonadota; Gammaproteobacteria; Oceanospirillales; Oceanospirillaceae
Description: bacterial SSU rRNA
Rfam family: Bacterial small subunit ribosomal RNA
Source: RNAcentral
CAGUCGNGCGGUACAGGAAGAAGCUUGCUUUCUUUGCUGACGAGCGGCGGACGGGUGAGUAACGCGUAGGAAUCUGCCUAGUAGUGGGGGACAACAUGUGGAAACGCAUGCUAAUACCGCAUACGCCCUACGGGGGAAAGGAGGGGAUCUUCGGACCUUUCGCUAUUAGAUGAGCCUGCGUAAGAUUAGCUAGUUGGUGGGGUAAAGGCUCACCAAGGCGACGAUCUUUAGCUGGUCUGAGAGGAUGAUCAGCCACACUGGGACUGAGACACGGCCCAGACUCCUACGGGAGGCAGCAGUGGGGAAUAUUGGACAAUGGGCGCAAGCCUGAUCCAGCCAUGCCGCGUGUGUGAAGAAGGCCUUCGGGUUGUAAAGCACUUUCAGAAGUGAGGAAGGGUGACUGGCUAAUAUCCAGUUAUCUUGACGUUAGCUUCAGAAGAAGCACCGGCUAACUCUGUGCCAGCAGCCGCGGUAAUACAGAGGGUGCGAGCGUUAAUCGGAAUUACUGGGCGUAAAGCGCGCGUAGGUGGUUUGUUAAGUCGGAUGUGAAAGCCCAGGGCUCNACCUUGGAAUUGCACCCGAUACUGGCANGCUAGAGUACGGUAGAGGGGUGUGGAAUUUCCUGUGUAGCGGUGAAAUGCGUAGAUAUANNAAGG